RNAcentral lists this long non-coding RNA (256 nucleotides) under Lathyrus oleraceus (garden pea). RNAcentral's name for it is "Pisum sativum (pea) long non-coding RNA (PSAT_LNC033977)". Lineage: Eukaryota; Viridiplantae; Streptophyta; Magnoliopsida; Fabales; Fabaceae. The record is from RNAcentral.
UGAGAUAGUUUAUUUGUUGCUAAGUGAAUGCAUUCAUGAAGAUUGAGGGAGGAGCUUGUCUUGUUUUCAUGAAGGUGGAGAAGAGAUAUUACUAAGAUUCCACUUCCUGCAUUGUUCCAUUUGUUUUCGUUCACUUUUUUGUUUUAUUAAUGUGCCACAUGUCAUUAUUCGAUUGAAUGGUUUUGAUUAUUUUUUUCUAUUUUGUUGAAACUUACUUUUCCAUAUUUUUAGGUACUUUAUAUUUUAUAUUUUAGUU